GAUGAACGCUGGCGGCGUGCCUAACACAUGCAAGUCGAACGAAGCAUUUUAGAGGAAGUUUUCGGAUGGAGUUUGAAAUGACUGAGUGGCGGACGGGUGAGUAACGCGUGGAUAACCUGCCUCACACUGGGGGAUAACAGUUAGAAAUGACUGCUAAUACCGCAUAAGCGCACAGUGCCUCAUGGCACAGUGUGAAAAACUCCGGUGGUGUGAGAUGGAUCCGCGUCUGAUUAGUUAGUUGGCGGGGUAACGGCCCACCAAGACAGCGAUCAGUAGCCGACCUGAGAGGGUGACCGGCCACAUUGGGACUGAGACACGGCCCAAACUCCUACGGGAGGCAGCAGUGGGGAAUAUUGCACAAUGGGCGAAAGCCUGAUGCAGCGACGCCGCGUGAGUGAAGAAGUAUUUCGGUAUGUAAAGCUCUAUCAGCAGGGAAGAAAAUGACGGUACCUGACUAAGAAGCCCCGGCUAACUACGUGCCAGCAGCCGCGGUAAUACGUAGGGGGCAAGCGUUAUCCGGAUUUACUGGGUGUAAAGGGAGCGUAGACGGCUUUGUAAGUCUGGAGUGAAAACCCAAGGCUCAACCUUGGGACUGCUUUGGAAACUAUGGAGCUGGAG
This 618-nucleotide ribosomal RNA is filed under the name uncultured bacterium. Its description in RNAcentral is "bacterial SSU rRNA". It matches the Rfam family "Bacterial small subunit ribosomal RNA", at positions 28 to 646 of the family's 1533-position model. The record is from RNAcentral.